AGAGAAAAGAGGAACAGGAUACUGAUUUAGGUCAUAGGCUCCUUUGAAAAUCUGAUGAAAGCGAUGGACCCUCUCUCCAGAAAAAAACAUAUGUGUAUAUACACACCCGAUUUUAUUUAUAACAUCAGGAUAUUCACGAAAAUCCUGAGGCCAAGGCUAAGGGGGUUCGUGGACCCCUGGGUAAGAAGCCUUUACUUAGGGUACAUGAAAUACUUUUGCAUCCAUGAACCAUUUUAUCUGAACGAAACUCUGAAGGUAGAGCAGAUGCCAGCACUGGACAGACGAGGAGACCUAGGUACAGAGGAGGGGUGACUUGCCCCCACAUCUGCUAAGAGGCAGUGUGGGGCUAAAGCUUAGAGCUCCUACCGCCAAGGCCUUGUUCCAUUACCCACUGGAAAUUUGGAACCUGCUGUUAGGAAGACAGACUUUUUAUUUUUUUAACUUUUUGGUAGUUAUCAGGGCUUUUAGAAAGGGGAAACAUUAGAUUGUACUUCUUCUUUAUCCUUUGAAUGAGUCAAUAGCACAUUUUCUAGCUCUUUCUUCCUUUACACUCAAAAUAGAAGGUAGGGAAAGUUGAGUGGAUUUGAGAUCCAGUGAGGAACUACCACAUGAUGAGAGAUAAUUAUUAAUAACAACUACAUAUAUUACAGCUGCUGCAUCUUCCCCUUUGUCAGAAAAACCUACUCUCAUGGGGUCCAUUUAUGAUUGGAUGAGAAGUAUUAGAGGGAGCAGAGUUCACAGAAGUCCCACAGUGCAGUCUGGAUGUGCUGACUUCGGGGCAGUCUCCUACCCAAUGCACGGAGCAGGCGACAUUCCAGACACUUGCCAGUCUGAACACUCUCUUUGUCGAGCAGGCCAUCCAUCUCCUUCAGGCUUUGAUAAUGGAACAAUGUACGCCGGUAACUGACCAUUGACCCAUUCAGCAAGAAAGUAUAAAACAUCUGCCUCAUCUCCAGCACUUCAUGGCUCUGUUGGAAGUAACAGAGGGCAUUCAAGAGCAUGCCAAGAGACCAUGCAGAAACUGCUCCGAAACAAGAAGGAAGCACAUGGCCUAAUGGGCACAGAGACUUGAGGUUCACUUAAGAAACAUUGACUGAGGAGCUGCUAUGGGCCAGGCAUGGUGGCUUCUUGACAAAUUAUUAAAUACUUCUUUGGUUGAAUGACACAUUUUCCUCUUCAGUGUUUCCAGUCUGUCCACCACUGAGAGGUGAGGCAGGACUAAGUUGGUGAUCAGUUUCCGUGACUAACAGUUACACCGUACUUUUGAGGUCUCUGGGUCUAUAUAAAGACUGCUGAAUCUCGCUUUGGGAAACAAAUAUGCAUAGAUACAUGUCAAAGCCUUAAACUUUGGUAAACCCAUUGACUCGAUAAUUUUGUCUCAAGAAUUUAUCCUAAGGAAGUAGUUGUGGAUGUAUCCAAAGUUUUAGCUGCAAGGAUGUCUAGCUCAGCUUUGUUUAUAAUAAUGAAAUUUGGAAACUACUUCAAUGCCCAGCAAUAGAGGGUUGGUUAAAUAACGUGAUAAAUCCGUAUAGUGGGAUACUAUAAUAUCUUUUAGAGUAGUGCUGAAGAAGAACAUUUUGUGACAUGGGAAAAUGUGGACAAUAUGCUGUUAAGAAGAAAAAGAUUAAAAAACGAUAUGCAUAGGAUUGUAUUGUCAUUAAAGAAUGUAUAUUUAUGCAUAGGAAAAAGACUAAAUUAUGCUGCAAAAUAUUAACAGUUCUCUUUGGUUGGUGAGAUUAUGAGUGAAGUUAUCUGAUUGUUGAAUGUUUACAAUAAUCACAUUUCUUUUGUGGCAAAAAAAUACUACUUAAAAAAAACUGCAUAGAGGGGCCAGCCCCCUGGCGUAGCGGUUAAGUCUGCGCGCUCCACUUAGGUGGCCCAGGUUCGCGGGUUUGGAUCCUGGGUGCAGACCUAUACCACCCGUCAGCCACGCGGUGGUGGUGACCCACGUAUAAAGUCAAAGAAGAUUGGCACAGAUGUUAGCUCAGGGCUAAUCUCGCUCAGCCAAAAAAAGAAAAAAAAAAAAACUGCAUAGAAAUAUAUUAAAUGAGAAUCCCCUUUUAGAUGGAAGCUCAAAUAAAUGGGUGGUUCUGCAGUAACCCUCCAGCAGCUCAAUUUGAUUGUAACUCAAGCGGUGAUACAUAUGUAGAGGGAAGAUGUUUGACCUUGGCGGCCUCUAUAUCCUCUUUUUUUCGAGGAAGAUUGGCCCUGAGCUAACAUCUGUUGCUGAUCUCCCUCCUUUUUUCCCUUUUUCUCCCCAAAGCGCCCAAGAUAGUUGUAUGUCAUAGUGGCACAUCUUUUUAGUUGCUCAUUUCUAUGUGGGACGCCACCUCAGCAUGGCUUGAUGAGUGGUGCGUAGGUCUGCACCCAGGAUCUGAACCGACAAACCCUAAACCGACAAGGCCACUGAAGUGGAGUGUGCGAAGUUAACCGCUACGCCACGGGGCUGGCCCCCUCUAUAUCUUCCAAAAUCCAGAG
Molecule: long non-coding RNA, 2478 nt
Organism: Diceros bicornis minor
Lineage: Eukaryota; Metazoa; Chordata; Mammalia; Perissodactyla; Rhinocerotidae
Exons: 3
Source: RefSeq, a predicted model, not a curated record